Molecule: small nucleolar RNA, 106 nt
Filed under: Cephalotus follicularis
Lineage: Eukaryota; Viridiplantae; Streptophyta; Magnoliopsida; Oxalidales; Cephalotaceae
Description: Plant small nucleolar RNA R71
Rfam family: Plant small nucleolar RNA R71
About the family: R71 is a member of the C/D box family of snoRNAs containing the C (UGAUGA) and D (CUGA) box motifs.
Source: Rfam by way of RNAcentral
CAGCAUGAUGGGGACAUUUUCUGAUGAGAUCCUUUAAUCUUUCCCACGAUUCAUGGAACUGCUCACUAUCGUGCUGUGAAAAGCUAGUGAGAGCUCGCCUUAUCUG